Molecule: long non-coding RNA, 1168 nt
Organism: Lycium barbarum (goji berry)
Lineage: Eukaryota; Viridiplantae; Streptophyta; Magnoliopsida; Solanales; Solanaceae
Exons: 2
Source: RefSeq, a predicted model, not a curated record
CAAACAAAAACUUACUUCGAACACUUUUCAACCACUAAAAUGAUGACCCGAAGUUUUGCGAAUUCUUGAUGUAUUGAGCCUACAUUAUUAAUCGCACAAAAUAAAAUCGGGUUCUAUAUAAAAUAUUGAAGUUCUGGAGUCUUGAAGCAUGUUAAUCUAUGGCCAAAGUAUGAAAAUUUAAAAGAAAGAGAGUAAUUCACCCCGCAAAAAAAAAAAAUAACGCAGUAAUUUUCUGCGUUAUUGGGCUUAAUUUUCUGCGUUAUUAAAAAAACAAACAAUGUAAAAAAAAUGCAGACUUUGUAUUUGUAGCAAACACUAAUAUAAUAAAGUUUUAAAUAUGAAGCACAAACUACAAUGUUAUAUUAAAUCGUGUUUUGAACAUAGUAUCCCAUAUUGACAAAAUCAAGCAAUAUAAAAAAAAAGUGAACCCCAUAUUAAAAAAAAUAUAAUGUUAAAAAAAAAGUGCAGACUUUGUAUUCGUAGCAAACACUAAUAUAAUAAAGUUUAGAUACGGAGCACAAACUAUAAUGCUAUAUUAAUCGUGUUUUGAACAUAGUAUAUGUAUAUAUAUCAUAUGCAUAAAAAUAGUACAAACUAAUAAUUUGCAAAUUCUUCUCCGAGUUGGUAGCGACAUUAUCUUCUCUCUUUUUAUAUAAUUUGCAAAUUCUUCUCCCAAAAUCAAUAAAUGUUUCUUCUCAUUCAUUUGUUUCUUUUUCCUUUCUAUUCUCUUUCUUGUUUCAGGAAUGGGUGAUGUACAUAUCAAAAAUGAGUUUCGCCUAUUGAUUCUCCAUCUUAUCUCUGCUUGUGUUGAACCAUGAUCAACCAUGGCCAGUGCAUAUGCUGAGGAGUUUAAGCGGCAGUUCCCACGGUUUUAUCAACAAUUGGUUAAGCAAGGGCAAGAGUUUGAAGAUGUUAGAGGAAAACAACAGAAGUUUCUUGUCAACUGGUGGGACGAGUCAGUUUAACACUUUUUAGUCGAAAGGUAAUAAUUGUUGCUAUAACUUUAGCAAUACACUUUUGCAGGGGCCAUUUUCAUAUCUGUACCAAGUUAAGCGUGGAGUUUCAAUUUAGGAUAAAGGGAGUAAAACAACAUUUUAUAAAAUAAACUACUGUGGGAAAGAAAAACAUUCAAUAUUUUUCUAUUAAAAGUUCCUGUAUUGCUGUUUCA